CGAACGCUGGCGGCGUGCCUAACACAUGCAAGUCGAGCGAGAAAGUUGCCUUCGGGUGGCGAGUACAGCGGCGCACGGGUGAGUAACACGUGGAUAAUCUGCCCAUAGGUCUGGGAUACCCCGGGGAAACUCGAGCUAAUACCGGAUAAGACCCCAUGCCGGAAGGUGUGAGGGAAAAGCGGGGGCCUUCUUCGGAAGCCUCGCGCCAAUGGAUGAGUCCGCGGCCCAUCAGCUUGUUGGCGGGGUAAAGGCCCACCAAGGCUAAGACGGGUAGCUGGUCUGAGAGGAUGAUCAGUCACACUGGAACUGAGACACGGUCCAGACUCCUACGGGAGGCAGCAGUGGGGAAUAUUGCGCAAUGGGCGAAAGCCUGACGCAGCAACGCCGUGUGAGUGAUGAAGGCCUUCGGGUCGUAAAGCUCUGUCAGCGGGAAAGAUGGCUUAGUUGGUUAAUACCCAAUUAAGUUGACGGUACUCGCAAAGGAAGCACCGGCUAACUCU
RNAcentral lists this ribosomal RNA (500 nucleotides) under uncultured bacterium. RNAcentral describes it as "partial 16S ribosomal RNA". It matches the Rfam family "Bacterial small subunit ribosomal RNA", at positions 30 to 504 of the family's 1533-position model. The record is from RNAcentral.